AUGAAGAGGAUGAGCCGGUCGUGCGUGCCAGGAGGAAGACAGUCCUCCCCGUGCGAUAUGAAGAUUAUAAUCUCAGCGGCUUCACUCUCCCAAGGCUGUUUCCUGAAUCCAUGUCACCACAAACACUCCCUCAACAACUGCAACAAUUUUAAGCAGCUUACCAUAGACCAGAAACGGAACUGGAUCAAAGACUGCAACAGAUGCUGCCGCUGUGGAAGGAAUCAUCAAGCUUCAGAGUGCAAUCUGAGAAUGCGCUGCAAAAAGUGUAAUAGCCGUCACCUUCUGGUCCUUCAUGACAUCAAUCUCAGGAGUGAAGACCUCCUAAAGACUACCCCAAAUGAAGGUACUUCUGCUAAUGCCUGCCUCCUCAAUACUAUGAACGAGAUACUUCUCAUUCGUAAGCCUCCUGCCAGUCGAAAGGUUCUUCUGAAGAUUGUCAAGGUCAUUCUUCGAAACGGGGCACACAAGAUAAAAGCUUAUGCCAUCUUAGAUGAUGGAUCGGAGAGGACCAUCCUUUUGCAUAAUGCUGCUCAACAGUUGGGCCUGAAAGGUCAGCCAGAAGAUCUUCCACUUCGCACAGUUAGGCAGGAAUUACAAAUGCUCACUGGUGCAUCAGUGUCAUUUCAUAUCUCCCCCCUGUCUCAGCCCAGCAAACUGUAUCGCAUAAAGGGUGCAUUCACAGCCCAGCAGCUAAGUCUUGCUGAACACACACAUCCGGUUAAGACUUUGAGAGAGAAAUACCACCACCUCAGAGGGCUUCCUUUGAGCCAUUUAGAGUCAGUUCGCCCUGUCCUGCUCAUUGGAUCAGACUAUCCCCACCUCAUUACAGCAGUGGAGCCAAUCCGUCUAGGCCCCCCAGGGGGACCAGCAGCUAUCAAGACUCGUCUCGGAUGGGCUUUGCAAGGUCCUGUACAACACCUGCAACAUGAGGUCACUGAACAACAGUGUCUUUUAACCUCAGUAGCACCACCUGAAACUGAUCUUCUCAGACAAGUGGAGAGACUCUGGCAGAUGGACGUGCUUCCAUGGCAAAGUGAAAAAAUGAGCACAAGAUCCAGACAAGAUCAGGAAGCAGUGAAAAUUCUGGAAAGCAAGACAGUGAGAGUAGAGGUGGAUGGCGUCAAGCGCUAUGCAACCCCACUUUUGCGCGUUAAAAACAUGCCAGACCUUAAGGCUCCCAAAAAUGCUGUUCUCCCACAUCUGCGGGCCAUAGAGAGAAGGCUGGCCAAAGAUCCAGAGCAAGCAGCUGCCUACACAGCAGAAAUUCAGAAACUAGAGCGGGCAGGUUAUGCAGUCAAGGUGGAACUAAAUGUUGAAGAAUGUCUAACCAACACCUGGUACAUUCCCCAUCAUCUGGUCCAACACAACGGGAAGAACAGGGUUGUAUUUAAUUGCUCAUUUCAGUAUCAGGGCCAAAACCUUAACAAGCUCUUGCUCCCUGGUCCUGUGUUAGGCCCAUCUCUUCUUGCAGUGCUGCUCAGGUUCAGAGAGCAUUCCGUUGCUAUCAGCAGUGAUAUAAAGGGGAUGUUCCACCAGAUCAGAUUGCUUCCCGAAGACAGGCCACUUCUGCGAUUCCUCUGGAGGGAUCUAAAUCCACAGGAUCCACCUAACAUUUAUGAAUGGCAGGUUCUCCCCUUUGGCACCACAUGCAGCCCUUGCUGUGCCAUCUUUGCAUUACAAAAACACAUCCUGGACCAUAGCCAACCUGGGGAAGACGUCCGCCAUGCUGUACUGAAGUCUUUCUAUGUUGAUAACUUUCUGCAGAGUUUCACCUCAGUAGAGGCAGGCAAGGGUCUCGUUGACAAACUCCGGAGCUUAUUGGCAGAAGGGGGUUUCGACCUGAGGCAGUGGUCCAGUAACCAACUCUCCACCAUAAGCCAUUUACCUCCUGAGGCCAGAUCUGACAGCACUGAACUUUGGAUUUCACAAGGGCAGAGCAACACCCAAGAAUCUGCCCUGGGACUCCUCUGGAAUCACCAAACAGAUACACUUUCAUAUAAGUACUGUCCCAUACAAAACACUGAGACCACCAUGCGCAGCAUUUACAGAAUCAUAGCAAGUCAGUAUGACCCCCUGGGCUAUCUCAUUCCCUACACUACCAAAGCCAAGCUUAUAGUACAGCGCCUUUGGGAUAAGAAAAGAGACUGGGAUGACCCGCACUUACCUGCAGAUCUUCUACAGACCUGGACAGAGUGGGUGGAGGAGCUGCCUGCCCUACAACACAUUGUCUUUCCAAGGUGUUAUACCAGUCCAAUCAGAGAUACCGACAUGAGUCAGCGAGAGAUACACAUCUUCUGUGAUGCCUCUGAGCGGGCUUAUGGCUCAGUCGCUUAUCUCCGCACAGAGGAUCAAUGUGGGGAGGUAGAGGUGGCCUUCCUCACAGCCAGGUCACGAGUGGCACCCAAAAAACAGCAGUCGAUCCCCCGUCUGGAACUCUGUGCUGCACUGACUGGGGCACAGCUGGCUAAAGUAGUCAGAACAGAACUGAACCUUCCCAUACACCAACUCACUCUGUGGACUGACUCCACCACAGUUCUCACUUGGCUGCAUUCAGACUCUUGCCGAUUCAAAGUGUUUGUUGGAACUAGAGUUGCUGAGAUCCAGGACAUUACAGACCAGCACACAUGGCGUUAUGUUCCUUCAACCUAUAACCCAGCAGAUGACAUAACACGGGGGAAAAGCCUAUGUAAGCUAGGGCCAGAUAGCCAUUGGUACCAAGGGCCAUCCUUUCUCAAAGGUCCUCCAAAUCAGUGGCCAGAAAUCCCACACCCCAUGCCUGCAGACGAAAGUGAGCUUCGUAAAACAGUUCCCUGCCUCCUUACCUGCUUCACAGCCAGCUUGUCAUUCCCUGACUUCAGCCAGUAUAAGACAUUUGAAGAGCUACUGGAGUCCAGGGCCUGUCAUGGGGCGGCAGGCAAUCCAACAGCUGAUGACUACAAGAUGGCGGAAAUCAGUGUCCUACAGCAAGCUCAGGAAGAGUGUUUCCCCUCUGAACUGGAGCAGUUAAAGGCAGAUAAAUCACUUCCCAGAAACAGUCGGUUAAAGGCACUGGCCCCUGAACUGAACCAUGAUACACAGCUAAUCAGGGUAGGAGGUCGCCUUCGCUGUAGCCCUUAUCUAGAUCCUGAUACUGUGCACCCCAUUGUCCUAGACCCAAAACACCCAGUGUCCAAACUGCUCAUACAAAGUUAUGACACUAAACUCCAUCAUCCAGGCCCAGAAAGAGUCUUUGCAGAGCUUCGGCGAAACUACUGGAUUCUUCGCGGCAGAGAGGCAAUCAAACGUUGUCAGAGGACUUGCGUGGAGUGCCAGAAGUGGAGAAGAAACCCUGAAGUCCCAAAAAUGGCAGACCUCCCUCCAGCCAGAUUACGUUUAUUUAAGCCUGCUUUCUACUCAACAGGAAUGGAUUGCUUUGGUCCAUAUACUGUCAAAGUAGGUCGCAGAAAUGAAAAGAAAUGGGGCAUCCUGUUCAAAUGUCUUACUACAAGGGCUGUUUACAUUGACAUCCUUCAUAGCCUUGACUCUGAUUCAUUCCUUAUGGCUCUCAGACGAUUCAUCGCUAGACGAGGCAAGCCAUUCGAGCUAUUAUCGGAUCAAGGGACUAACUUCAAAGGAGGGGAGAGAGAACUGAAGGAAGCAUACGCAGCUAUCGUCCCUGAAUUGCAACAGCAACUGGCAAGCCAGCAAAUACAAUUCCACUUCAAUCCCCCUAAUUCUCCACAUUUUGGUGGCAGCUGGGAAAGAGAGAUUCGCUCCCUUAAACAGGCCUUGAUGACAACACUUGGUGCCCAGUCUGUCACCUUCGAAGUAAUGUACACUGUGCUGGUGGAGAUUGAAGGGAUCUUAAAUUCCAAGCCACUAGGCUACAGUUCAUCUGACAUUUCUGAUCUAGACCCUAUCACACCAAAUUCCCUUCUCAUUGGGCGGCCAGAUUCAUCACUUCCUCCUGUAAUAUACCCUGAAUCUGAACUGAUCAGUCGACGCAGAUGGCGUCAUAGUCAACUCCUUGCCGACCAAUUCUGGAGGCGCUUCAUCAGGUUCUACCUUCCCAGCCUCCAGACCCGCCAGAAGUGGCAAGAUGAGACAUCUGAUCUCCAGGUUGGCACCAUUGUCCUGAUUGUCGACCCCCAACUGCCCAGAGCACUCUGGCCAGUGGGCCAGGUGUCGAAGGUAUUCCCUGGAGUAGACCGCAGAGUAAGAGCAGCAGAAAUUAAAGUUGGAAAGAAGUCAUACACACGCCCAGUGGCACGCCUCAUCCGAUUACCUGCCAUACCAGAUUAA
This 4281-nucleotide long non-coding RNA is filed under the name Carassius auratus (goldfish). RNAcentral's name for it is "lncRNA (ENSCARG00000042371.1)". The record is from RNAcentral. Lineage: Eukaryota; Metazoa; Chordata; Actinopteri; Cypriniformes; Cyprinidae.